CUGGCCUCCAAUUUGUGACCCUCCUGCCUUCAUCUCCAAAUUGCUGGGCUUACAGGUGAGUACCACCACACCUGACCGCCAGUGGCUUUUAUUGAAAUAUGUGUUUGUUUAUCCAGUUUUCUUUUCCUCUUUCAGUUAUCAUAGUGGUGAGUGCAAAGGUCUGUUACAACAUCCUACAUUCCAGAGAGAAGGCAAACUUUCCCCUUUUGGCAUUAGAGGAAUCUGCAAGAGAUGUGAACUGCAGGCAUGUGAACUAAUGUGUGGGAAAGAUGGAUUUGUUGGCAAAGGCAGGAAGAGGUCCAUCUAGGAGAGCCGGGAUACAUGCAAAGGAUGCUGUGACGACGAACAAAACGGGAAAGAUGACAUGGGGGAGCACUUUCAAGUUGUCAGACAGAUUCAAAUCUGUGUCUGUCCAACUGCAGAGCCUAAACUUUUGGUCAUCCGAUCUAUGAAGUUGUAUCCCCGAGAGUGGCUGAUAGAGAACUAAAACUCUUUGGUUUAAGUGGUUCUCCUGGUGUAUUCGUGAGACAUACUUUUGGCUUUGGGGCUUCUACAUUCAACUUUGUUUUACCUGAGAAUGGCUAAGAAGAUUCCCAAAACUCAUGUCAAACUCAUGACUUUCAUUGUAAGUUUCCUUUGCAAGUUUUUAAAAUGUAGCUUGUGAUGAACAAGAGUGUAGACUGUCUAAAAUUAAAUUUAUUGUAACUAUAAAAAACACAUGGCAUUGUACAUAUUUGGGGGGAACUAGGUGAUAUUCCCAUAUGUGUAUACAUUUUAUACAUUGUGUACAGUGCAUACUUUUUGAUUGGUAACUGGAUAAAUUAAGCAUGAAAUGUUUUUUAAAGUUUUUUUUUAGUUGUCAAUGGACCUUUAUUUUAUUUAUUUCUAUGUGGUGCUGGGAAUCCAAUCCAGUACCUCACACAUUCUAGGCAAGCGCUCUACCACAACCCCGGCCCCCAAGCAUGAUAAUCUUGUUCUAAUAAAAAAGUUUAUUUAUUUUUCUCCAUUGACUUAGCUUCUAGAAAUCUGUCUUGAGGCAUAAUUGCAGACAGAGUCUUAUGUGGAAAGUUAUGUAUAUAAUGAGCACAAAUUCAGAAAGGACUCAAAUGUCUUAUAUAAAGGAAUGAUAUAUAAUAUACAUAUAUAAUAAUACAUAUGACGAUAAACAUACGUGAAUCAUCUCACAUGGGGCCAUCAACAUGAGACUGAUUAAAAAUAAUUAUGGCAUAGUUAUGCUAUGGAAAACUGUAAUAGUUCAAAACAAUGAAAUAAACAUACAUGCACCAAUUUGAAAAAUCUCUGAUCUAUAUUGUUAUAUAGUGUGAUACAUCCAAUGUCUCUCUAGCUGUGUACAUGUGCCAAUGCCUAGAAAACACGAGAAGGACACAUAUACUUUUAAUAGAGGUAGAUUAGUUUUGUAGAAUGUGUGUAUGUGUGCGGGGUGAUAAAGUAGGAAUUUUAUAGUUUACUGUGUAUAUUUCUGUUUUAGUUAACUUUUAUGUCAUUGUGGCCAAAAUACCUGACAAGAACAUCUUAAGGGAAAAAAAAUUGGGGGGGGUUUUACGGUUUCAGAGGUCUUAGUCCAUAAGUGGCUGAUUCCACUGCUCUAGGCCCAAGUGAGACAAAACAUCAUGGUGAAAGGGUCCAGUGAAGGAAAGCUGCUCAGGUCAGCUCAGGAUGGGCGUCAGGAAGGAGAGAGAAAGAGAGUGGG
RNAcentral lists this long non-coding RNA (1711 nucleotides) under Marmota monax (woodchuck). Lineage: Eukaryota; Metazoa; Chordata; Mammalia; Rodentia; Sciuridae. The record is from RNAcentral.